UCACCAAGGCGACGAUCCGUAGCUGGUCUGAGAGGACGACCAGCCACACUGGGACUGAGACACGGCCCAGACUCCUACGGGAGGCAGCAGUGGGGAAUUUUGGACAAUGGGCGCAAGCCUGAUCCAGCAAUGCCGCGUGUGUGAAGAAGGCCUUCGGGUUGUAAAGCACUUUUGUCCGGAAAGAAAACUUCGUCCCUAACAUGGAUGGAGGCUGACGGUACCGGAAGAAUAAGCACCGGCUAACUACGUGCCAGCAGCCGCGGUAAUACGUAGGGUGCGAGCGUUAAUCGGAAUUACUGGGCGUAAAGCGUGCGCAGGCGGUGAUGUAAGACCGAUGUGAAAUCCCCGGGCUUAACCUGGGAACUGCAUUGGUGACUGCAUUGCUGGAGUAUGGCAGAGGGGGGUGGAAUUCCACGUGUAGCAGUGAAAUGCGUAGAGAUGUGGAGGAACACCGAUGGCGAAGGCAG
RNAcentral lists this ribosomal RNA (467 nucleotides) under Paraburkholderia sp. RNAcentral describes it as "bacterial SSU rRNA". It matches the Rfam family "Bacterial small subunit ribosomal RNA", at positions 265 to 724 of the family's 1533-position model. The record is from RNAcentral. Lineage: Bacteria; Pseudomonadati; Pseudomonadota; Betaproteobacteria; Burkholderiales; Burkholderiaceae.